Molecule: long non-coding RNA, 577 nt
Organism: Panthera uncia (snow leopard)
Lineage: Eukaryota; Metazoa; Chordata; Mammalia; Carnivora; Felidae
Exons: 2
Source: RefSeq, a predicted model, not a curated record
AGAUAAUCAGCAUUCAGAGAAGACACACUAGGCCCUCCCCAGGGUUCUCUCUGAGGAGAACUGAGAACUGGUGGCUCUAUAUGAGUAGCUGUAGGUGUUUAUCUAGUCUUCUUCAACAGUCUGAAGAGGAUCUAGCUUCAUUCAAAGCUUGGUGUGCUGUUCCUGAAUAAUUAAUGCCCAUGCUAUUUGAAUUUAAUUUGAAGCCAUUAUAUUGUGCUGGUGACAAAACAUUGAACAAGAUUAGUAUCCUGGACCUCCCUGAGUUUACCAUGCUUUGGCAAAUGGAUAUGAGGAUACUUGUUGCUCUUUUUCUCCAUCCAGGCCAGAGCUGAAUGCCAACUUCAGCUCUGUAUCCAUUUGCCUUUUCAUGUUACAUUAUGUGAGAAAGGAAGUGUACAACCUAACCUUGUCUUAAACCUCUUCAGGAUCAUCUCUGCAUCCUUGAGGAUAAAAACAACAAAAGAGUAGGAAUGAAAACAACCACUUUACUCGGAAAUUUGUUACUGAACACACAUUUUCUAUUAGGCCUCUUCUAGGCUUUGUAAAGAUCUUUAUAAAGAUUCUGUUUUGUCCUUAA